GAUAAACGCUGGCGGCGCACAUAAGACAUGCAAGUCGAACGGACUUAACUCGAAGUUUACUUUGAGAGCGGUUAGUGGCGGACGGGUGAGUAACGCGUGAGCAACCUGCCUAUCACAGGGGAAUAACGCAUCGAAAGGUGUGCUAAUACCGCAUGAGACCACAGGACCGCAUGGUCAAGGGGUCAAAGAUUUAUCGGUGAUAGAUGGGCUCGCGUCUGAUUAGCUGGUUGGUGAGGUAACGGCUCACCAAGGCAUCGAUGGGUAGGGGUUCUGAGAGGAAGGUCCCCCACAUUGGAACUGAGACACGGUCCAA
This 313-nucleotide ribosomal RNA is filed under the name uncultured bacterium. RNAcentral's name for it is "bacterial SSU rRNA". It matches the Rfam family "Bacterial small subunit ribosomal RNA", at positions 28 to 334 of the family's 1533-position model. The record is from RNAcentral.